AGCGGCGAACGGGUGAGUAAUGCAUCGGAACGUGUCCCGGAGUGGGGGAUAACCCGGCGAAAGCCGGACUAAUACCGCAUAUGCUCUGAGGAGGAAAGUGGGGGACCUGAGAGGGCCUCAUGCUUUGGGAGCGGCCGAUGUCCGAUUAGCUAGUUGGUGGGGUAAAGGCUUACCAAGGCGACGAUCGGUAGCUGGUCUGAGAGGAUGAUCAGCCACACUGGGACUGAGACACGGCCCAGACUCCUACGGGAGGCAGCAGUGGGGAAUUUUGGACAAUGGGGGCAACCCUGAUCCAGCCAUGCCGCGUGCGGGAAGAAGGCCUUCGGGUUGUAAACCGCUUUUAGCUGGGAAGAAAAGACUCGGGCUAACACUCCGGGUUCUUGACGGUACCGGCGGAAUAAGCACCGGCUAACUACGUGCCAGCAGCCGCGGUAAUACGUAGGGUGCGAGCGUUAAUCGGAAUUACUGGGCGUAAAGCGUGCGCAGGCGGUUCGUUAAGUUUGUCGUGAAAGCCCCGGGCUCAACCUGGGAAUGGCGAUGAAAACUGGCGAGUUGGAGUGUGGCAGAGGGGGGUGGAAUUCCAGGUGUAGCAGUGAAAUGCGUAGAGAUCUGGAGGAACACCGAUGGCGAAGGCAGCCCCCUGGGCUGACACUGACGCUCAGGCACGAAAGCGUGGGGAGCAAACAGGAUUAGAUACCCU
RNAcentral lists this ribosomal RNA (700 nucleotides) under uncultured bacterium. RNAcentral's name for it is "bacterial SSU rRNA". It matches the Rfam family "Bacterial small subunit ribosomal RNA", at positions 94 to 788 of the family's 1533-position model. The record is from RNAcentral.